GUGUCAGCAGCCGCGGUAAUACGGAGGGUGCAAGCGUUAUCCGGAUUCACUGGGUUUAAAGGGUGCGUAGGAGGGCAGGUAAGUCAGUGGUGAAAUCCCCGAGCUUAACUUGGGAACUGCCGUUGAUACUAUCUGUCUUGAAUAUUGUGGAGGUAAGCGGAAUAUGUCAUGUAGCGGUGAAAUGCUUAGAUAUGACAUAGAACACCAAUUGCGAAGGCAGCUUACUACACAAUCAUUGACUCUGAUGCACGAAAGCGUGGGGAUCAAACAGGAUUAGAUACCCCCGUAGUCC
Molecule: ribosomal RNA, 292 nt
Filed under: uncultured bacterium
Lineage: Bacteria
Description: partial 16S ribosomal RNA
Rfam family: Bacterial small subunit ribosomal RNA
Source: RNAcentral